This 489-nucleotide ribosomal RNA is filed under the name uncultured bacterium. RNAcentral's name for it is "partial 16S ribosomal RNA". It matches the Rfam family "Bacterial small subunit ribosomal RNA", at positions 28 to 505 of the family's 1533-position model. The record is from RNAcentral.
GAUGAACGCUGGCUACAGGCUUAACACAUGCAAGUCGAGGGGAAACGCCGGGGAAGCUUGCUUCCCCGGGCGUCGACCGGCGCACGGGUGAGUAACGCGUAUCCAACCUGCCUCUGACUGAGGGAUAACCCGUCGAAAGUCGGCCUAAUACCUCAUGGUAUCGUCUGCGGGCAUCCAACGACGAUUAAAGAUUUCAUCGGUCAGGGAUGGGGAUGCGUCUGAUUAGCUUGUUGGCGGGGUAACGGCCCACCAAGGCUACGAUCAGUAGGGGUUCUGAGAGGAAGGUCCCCCACAUUGGAACUGAGACACGGUCCAAUCUCCUACGGGAGGCAGCAGUGAGGAAUAUUGGUCAAUGGGCGAGAGCCUGAACCAGCCAAGUAGCGUGCAGGAAGACGGCCCUAUGGGUUGUAAACUGCUUUUAUGCGGGGAUAAAGUGAGGGACGUGUCCCUCAUUGCAGGGACCGCAUGAAUAAGGACCGGCUAAUUCCG